RNAcentral lists this ribosomal RNA (495 nucleotides) under uncultured bacterium. Its description in RNAcentral is "partial 16S ribosomal RNA". It matches the Rfam family "Bacterial small subunit ribosomal RNA", at positions 28 to 523 of the family's 1533-position model. The record is from RNAcentral.
GAUGAACGCUGGCGGCGUGCUUAACACAUGCAAGUCGAGCGAAGCACUUAGGAAGGAUUCUUCGGAUGAUUUCCUAUUUGACUGAGCGGCGGACGGGUGAGUAACGCGUGGGUAACCUGCCUCAUACAGGGGGAUAACAGUUAGAAAUGACUGCUAAUACCGCAUAAGACCACAGCACCGCAUGGUGCAGGGGUAAAAACUCCGGUGGUAUGAGAUGGACCCGCGUCUGAUUAGUUAGUUGGUGGGGUAACGGCCUACCAAGGCGACGAUCAGUAGCCGACCGGAGAGGGUGACCGGCCACAUUGGGACUGAGACACGGCCCAAACUCCUACGGGAGGCAGCAGUGGGGAAUAUUGCACAAUGGGGGAAACCCUGAUGCAGCGACGCCGCGUGAGCGAAGAAGUAUUUCGGUAUGUAAAGCUCUAUCAGCAGGGAAGAAAAUGACGGUACCUGACUAAGAAGCCCCGGCUAACUACGUGCCAGCAGCCGCCGUAA